CCCACCUCUUUGGACUAGGGGAUGAGUUGACCUGCUAGCUGUGUCUGGACACCCUGACUGAUCCCAUGUCACUUGAUUGUGGACACAGUUUUUGUUUGAUGUGCCUCACCUACUAUAGGGAUUGGGGUCAAGUGUGUGAGCAGCUUUCCUCAGUGCCCACAAAUCGUCAUGCUGAGGCCUCAACAAUGUACUGAAUUAAGUCAUCAAGACAUUAAAGAAGACAGAACUCAUUCCAGUUCCUCCAUCUGAGAACUAUGCUAGCCAUGGAGGAAGAAGUUCAGAGCAGUGAAGUCAUGUCUGAUCUACCUUCACUGGCAGUCUAAUUAUGAAGGAACUACCUGGAAGGAACACAAACUGACUGAUCCAGAUGGAAAUCUAAAAUAAGGAGGAACUCUGUGCACAACAUCAGAAAAAUUUGGAAAUAUUUUGCAAGAUUGAGGAGACGUGUAUCCGCAUGAUGUGUGUGUGGUUACUGGACAUAAUGGUUAUAAAAUGUUCAAGCUGGAGAUGGACAGAGGAGACAAACAGACCAAACAUAAGAAAUCCUUCCUGUCCCGGGCCUGAGGAUGUCACGUCCUGUGAACCAGCUAUAAAAAACCCUCAUCCUCCAUACUCAAACAGACUCCUCUCUACUCAAAUUGAACAGCAACAUGGCACGCCAAUUCCUCCAUCUGUCUGAAUGGAAGACGAAGGAGAUAUGCCAGAGGUCCAAAUGACCAUCAUCAUCAAGUUCUUCCAAG
Molecule: long non-coding RNA, 740 nt
Organism: Polypterus senegalus (gray bichir)
Lineage: Eukaryota; Metazoa; Chordata; Cladistia; Polypteriformes; Polypteridae
Exons: 4
Source: RefSeq, a predicted model, not a curated record